GAUGAAGAACGUAGCGAAAUGCGAUACGUAAUGUGAAUUGCAGAAUUCAGUGAAUCAUCGAAUCUUUGAACGCAUAUUGCGCUCUCUGGUAUUCCGGAGAGCAUGCUUGUUUGAGUAUCAGUAAACACCUCAACUUCCAUAUCUUUUUUGAAAUGGGAGUUGGACUUGAGUGAUCCCAACGCUUUUCCUCACCGAAAAGUGGCGGGUUACUUGAAAUGCAGGUGCAGCUGGACUUUUCUCUGAGCUAUAAGCAUAUCUAUUUAGUCUGCCUAAAAAACAGAUUAUUACCUUUGCUGCAGCUAACAUAAAGGAGAUUAGUUCUUGUGCUGACUGAUGCAGGAUUCACAAAGACAGGCUUCGGCCGACUUUGAAAACUCGAUCUCAAAUCAAGUAAGACUACCCGCUGAACUUAAGCAUAUCAAUAAGCGGAGGA
This 433-nucleotide unclassified non-coding RNA is filed under the name soil metagenome. Its description in RNAcentral is "partial contains 5.8S ribosomal RNA, internal transcribed spacer 2, and large subunit ribosomal RNA". The stretch from base 1 to 120 matches the Rfam family "5.8S ribosomal RNA", at positions 35 to 154 of the family's 154-position model. The record is from RNAcentral.